Molecule: long non-coding RNA, 3499 nt
Organism: Gorilla gorilla gorilla (western lowland gorilla)
Lineage: Eukaryota; Metazoa; Chordata; Mammalia; Primates; Hominidae
Exons: 9
Source: RefSeq, a predicted model, not a curated record
GGCUGCGCGUGCGCGCAGGCGGGCUGUGGACCGUGGCCGCCGCCGGAGCCUUUCGCUUGCGGUGAUUCUGGGCUCCCUCGGUUGGCAGUGUUGAUGUGUGCCUGUGAGUUGUGAGCGAGGCAGAUUUCCUCGCGUGGCUGGCACGACCUUCACCUUUGCAGAAGGCAACCGGGACCCUCAAGACAGGAGUCUCACUACGUUGCCUAGGCUGGUCUCCAACUUCUGAGCUCAAGCUAUCCUCCUGUGUCAGCCUCCCAAAGUGCUGGGAUUACAGACGGAAGUACAGUGGUGUGAUCACAGCUCACUGCAGCCUCAGAUGCUUGGACUCAAGUGAUCCGACUGCCUCAGUCUCCCAAGUAGCUGGGAUUACAGGCUGGUAUCAAACUCCUGGACUCAAGCAAUCCUCCUGCCUCAGCCUCCCAAAGUGCUGGAAUUACAGCUCAAGGUCCUCACCAGAAGCAGAUGCAGGUGCCAUGGUCCUUGGACAGCCUGCAGAACCAUCAGCCAAAUAAGCCUCUUCUCUUUAGGAAUUACCCAGCCACAGGGUUUCACUGUCACCUAGGCUGGAGUGACAUCAUCAGAGUUCACUGCAGCCUUGAUCUGCUGGGCUCAAGCCAUCCUCCCACCUAAGCCUCCCGAAGAGCUAAGACCACAGCAAGGAUCAGGCAUUGUAACAGUCUCAUGAAGUUGUGAAGAUUAAACGAAGUGACACAUGUGAAUCAUUGAGGACAAUGCUGGGCAAAUAAUGCAGAGAUUCUUUUCUGCAGCUCAGACACCAGCCAGAAGAGACACUUUUGGAUCCAUUCUGAUUCUUGUGAACCCAAUAAGCAUUCUUAAGCUGUGCUGGAUAUGACAAAGCCCCUACUUCAAGGAACGUAGGGUUAGGAAAGUAUGGAUAAAACAAGCACAUUCCAUCUAUGACAGAACAUAAAUAAUGGAAAACAUGGGCAUGAGCCAGUGGGGUGGUGAGAACUGGGAGCAUUUCCUAAUUUCCCUUGCAAGCAGGUUGGGACCAUGUGACCAGCUUUGGCCAAUUGACGAACUAUGAAUGGAAGACAUAGGAGUCAUUUUUAGGUGGAAGCAGUUGUCCUUUCAUCUGCUGUCUUCCCCUGCCACAGUGACUAGAUGGAGGACAACCUUGUUCUCUGAAGUCCAAACUGGACUUUGCGUAAGCUAAACAAAUUUUCGUGCUGCAAAACUCCUAAGAAGGCUGUGUGUGGUGGCCCAUGUCUGUAAUCCCAGCAGUUUGGGAGGCUGAGGUGGGUAGAUCACCUGGGGUCAGGAGAAACCCUGUCUCUACUAAACCUGUCUCUACUAAAAAUACAAUAAUUAGCUGGGCGCGGUAGCGGGCAUCUGUAAUCCCAGCUACUGAGGAGGCUGAGGCAGGAGAAUCGCUUGAACCCGGGAAGCGGCGGUUGUAGUGAGCCGAAAUCGCGCCAUUGCACUCCAGCCUGGGUGACAUGAGCAAAACUCAGUCUCAAAACAAAAAACAAAAAGCGAAAAAGAACUCCUAAGAAAUCUAGGCCUGCUUAAUAUCACAGCAUUGGUUAGCCAAACUAAUACAGAUGGGUAGGAUUACAUAAUGAGGAGUGACGCCAAAAUCCAGAGAGAUGUAAUUAAGAAGGCUCAUUCACAGACAAGAAUUUUGAUGAACCCAGGAGCACUGAGCUCAUAAAAAGUAGUGCUUAAGCAACUCAUGAAACCAGUGGCGGGUUUUAACUGAAGUUGAAUUAUCUCAUACUGAGAUAUUGUUUGGAAACAGGGCAUGUACAUUUAUUACUGAUGGAAAACAGAAUCAAUACUCUGGCUGAAUAAUGCAUUAAGCAGUCUGAGUGAGUCCCUGAGUCAUGGGCACCCUAACAGAUUAGCUUGGUUUAGAGAUCGUAUCCUCUGGGUUCUGAAUCUUCAACCAUUAGGUUGAAGAAUAAAAUUACUAUUAAUGCAUUAAUUUAGUAGGCACUUGGAGAGACAGGAGAAGUGGGAGUAGAAUUUUGGCCCUUGAAGAACUUGUGGGCGGGGAAGGAAGAUUGCAAGCACUGUACAGAGUGAGGAAAGAAGGCAACUGAGGAGUGAUCAGUUUGGGCAGUGGCAGGUCAGAGGAGGCUUUCUGAGACCUGAGAGCUGGGUCCCAGAGGAAGCAAGAGACUGGUAAAGAGGAGGUAGACAGGUCAUCCCACUGAAGUGAGCAAAGGGCUGAAUGGUCUGAGUUGCUGAUGAAGAAAACUCAUGAAGAGUUUCUGUAAAAGCAUUCCCAAAUGUCCUCAUCAAAGGGAAGGGAGUAGAUCUAAGGGAGGGAAGAGUGGCAAACUCCCCCAACAUUUUCCUUUAUUAGUCGUUCCGUGUUGACCAAGGGCUCUUAUGAAACAUGACAUGUGGUUGGCCAUGGCUAUGCUGCACUCUGAAGAGUGGCCAUCCUGCCCUUUAGAUUUGAGCCUUUUUUCUUCCUCUGCAUUGGUCAUGCAUCAGGCUGUUAUUGUCGAGGACAAUCACAAAAUUACUCCAUUAGGCCAACUACACAUCUUAACCAAGCCAAAAAGAUGGCCUUACCAACAAACUGGGUUGCUGUCUGGUGCUGUGACCCCAUGAGCAUUAGUUUCUUCAUAUGUAAAGUGAGAAUUAAAUUAAAUGAGAUAAUUUUUAUAAUACAAUUAGUAUUUAAUUGGCCUUUGGUAGAUUCUUAAUCAUCAGUAACAUUAUUAUUACCAAUCUAUGGUUUUUAUCACUAAAUCAGAAUGCAUUUGUGAUUAUAUAAAAAGCUCUUUUGGUGGAUGCUAAAAAAUGAAAACUGACUUUGUUUUAAACUAUUUCAGAUCAUGUUUAUUUGCCCUGUUUGAAAUCCAAAGCUCCAAAUGGUUGAGGACAAAGUCAUUGCUAAUAUUGAGAUUGUUUUUUAACAAUUCACUUUCAUUUUUUUCUUUGCUUUCUUCUAUCAUCAAAAUAAAGAAGUUAUCCACAUUUUCCACAAAUGAGCAAUGAAUAUACAAGUUUAUGUUUAAUAAUAUUUUGGAAAUCACAGAUUUUCAAAAAUGGGCAAAACACAUCAAUUAUUGUUUUGAAAAUUCUUGGAAAUCUUCAUCUUCCUGUCUUAGUGCCUUCAGGGUGGGAGACUGUUUGGCUUUUUCACCUGUACGGGAAAGCUGCAAUUACUAUGCCUGAUUCUCUUGUUUUCUAAAAUUUCAGUUUAAUAGCAAAAUGUUUAAUUAAAAACAGAUCAAAUGUCAUUUGAACAAGUGAACAGUAUAGAAUGAGUUUUGAGAAAGUUAAACUAUAAGUUGUAACUAAUGGCUAUAUAAAAUCCCUUGUGUUUCAGGGAGGAAAACAGCACACACCAGGGCCUGUUGUGGCAGGCAAAGGGAGGAAGGGCAUUAGGACAAAUACCUAAUGCAUGUGGGGCUUAAAACCUAGAUGACGGGUUGAUAGGUGCAGCAAACCACCAUGGCACAUGUAUAGCUAUGUAACAAACCUGUACGCUCUGCACAUGUAUCCCAGAACUGAAAGU